AGUGAACGCUGGCGGCGUGCUUAACACAUGCAAGUCGAACGGAGUAAAGUAGCUUGCUAUUUUACUUAGUGGCGCACGGGUGAGUAAUGUAUAGCUAACCUGCCCUUUAGUGGGGGACAACAGUUGGAAACGACUGCUAAUACCCCAUACUCCUUCUUAUCAUAAGGUAAGUUGGGAAAGAUUUAUUGCUAAAGGAUGGGGCUUUAUUGUAUCAGCUAGUUGGUGGGGUAAUGGCCUACCAAGGCGAUGACGCAUACCUGGUCUGAGAGGAUGAUCAGGCACACUGGAACUGAGACACGGUCCAGACUCCUACGGGAGGCAGCAGUGGGGAAUAUUGCACAAUGGGGGAAACCCUGAUGCAGCAACGCCGCGUGGAGGAUGACGCAUUUCGGUGUGUAAACUCCUUUUAUAAGGGAAGAUAAUGACGGUACCUUAUGAAUAAGCACCGGCUAACUCCGUGCCAGCAGCCGCGGUAAUACGGAGGGUGCAAGCGUUACUCGGAAUCACUGGGCGUAAAGGAUGCGUAGGCUGGAAAUCAAGUCGAAAGUGAAAUCCAACGGCUCAACCGUUGAACUGCUCUCGAAACUGGUCACCUAGAAUAUGGGAGAGGUAGAUGGAAUUGGUGGUGUAGGGGUAAAAUCCGUAGAUAUCACCAGGAAUACCGAUUGCGAAGGCGAUCUACUGGAACAUUAUUGACGCUGAGGCAUGAAAGCGUGGGGAGCAAACA
Molecule: ribosomal RNA, 727 nt
Filed under: Sulfurospirillum sp. enrichment culture clone SGLB4-52
Lineage: Bacteria; Pseudomonadati; Campylobacterota; Epsilonproteobacteria; Campylobacterales; Sulfurospirillaceae
Description: bacterial SSU rRNA
Rfam family: Bacterial small subunit ribosomal RNA
Source: RNAcentral